Long non-coding RNA from Oryza sativa Japonica Group (Japanese rice), 969 nucleotides. RefSeq lists it as uncharacterized. The record is from RefSeq and is a predicted model, not a curated record. Lineage: Eukaryota; Viridiplantae; Streptophyta; Magnoliopsida; Poales; Poaceae.
GCCGCUCCCGGAUCGAUCCUCUCCCCUCGCGCUCGCGGCGCUCUCCUCGCGCUUCUCCCUCCUCCGCCUGCACCCCCGUCGAUCCCCUCGCGUUUCACCGCCCCCAUCGUCUCUCGCCUCGCCGGUAUCCUCCAUCACAAGAGGGCUCAGGACGACCCCAGCGGCGCAUGAGGGUAUCCUCCGACACAAGAGGGCUGAGGGUGAGCACGCGGCGCAUGGCGUGCUGAGGGUGAGUGCAGCUGACGACGGCACAUGACGAGCCCAUCCGGCUGCACGGUAUCUAUCCCCAAACCCUAAAAUUUUCCCAUCUCUUUCUUCAAAUCCAUCUAGAAAUUUUCAGAUCGGGGAAUUUGUCUUUGCCUGUGAUGUCUGUACAAUAACAUGUUGUAUACAUGCUGGGAUGCCUCAAUGUAUGGUUGCUGAUGAUGGAAUCAGAAAAUGGUAUAGAAGCUUUUCUUGAUGGAAGCAUUUUAAGACUUGUACUACACCAGACGUGCCCCCUUGAGAAACAAAGAAUGAUGGGACCCUAGGAGUUAGUGGUAUAUAUCAGCGACACACUUGCAUGGCCAGGGGAAUCGCAACUCAGGUGCUCACCGAGGAUCAACUGUUCAGGAUCCAGGAUUUUUAGCAUUUGUUUUUAUUGAACGCUGGAAUUACAUUUCUCCUCGUGCCAUCUAAAGAUAUUUGGCUGCAGUUCGAUGAGUAUGUCGAAAAAGGCAAAAAGCGCAUCCAUUGAAUGAUCCAUGGUGCAAAUACUUGUGGAUCAUAUAAAAUCAUUUCAAAUUGUCAUAGAUAUUUAGAUAUGUUGUACCGAAGAACUCUGAUAACUCAUAGUGCUCUACUUCAUGCUUAUCUUACAAAUUUAUAUUCUGAACCAUCUAUAUAGUACCAGCUCUUUAUCUGUAAAAUUUGAGACCAUCGCAAAGUUAAAUUGAAGUUUGAUGAUGAUUAAUAUAUUUUAUGAUGCUA